GGCCGCGCGUGCCCCGCUCCUGGGCCGCGCUGGGCUGCGCCGCCCUCCGGGGCCGGGGCGCUGGCAGGCCGAGUGUCCCCAGGGGCCCUGGUGGCCGGGGGCGGGAUAGGGGCAGGUGACAAUUCAAUUAGGGCGACGGGGGGCGGGGAGGGGGUUGGGGGGGAAGGAGGGCAGAUGGCAUAAAUGCCAAGAGGCCGGUUCCUUCCUCCUCCCGGCGGCUUGGGUGCGCUCCCACGUCCGGCGCGCCUGGGGCGGUGGGGGCCGUGCUCCCUCCCGGUUGCUUCCUCCUGCCUCCUUUCAAACACGGGCCCUUCACUUAAAAAAUGUCCGAUAGGCUAGGGCACCAGGAAGGGUAAGUGUGUGCCUUGCGAGGAUUCUUGCUCUUAAAGAGGGGCCGGGGGAGCGCGGAGGGGCGCUUCCCGGCGGCCCUGGCUCCCCGCGCCCGCAUCUUCCCUCCCCGCCGCUAACCCCGUCCCUCGGCCCCUCUUGCUCCGUCCUCGCCUCCGCAGCACCUCGAUUUCUCGUAGGCGGGGGGCGGGGGGCGGGGGGGAUUCUUUCUGUCGGUGUUAUUCCGAAUUAACGAAAAGUUUAGUUUUCGUUUUUAAACGAAAGUAAAGCGUGGCCUCUCUGUCUCCCCAGCUCCUCUUGAACGCAGGAUGCGCGUCCGUCUGUCCGUCCUUCCGGGCCUGAGACGAGGUCGCCACGGACCCCCAGGACUAGUUGUAACUUUCGCCUUCCUCUCCCGCACUGACGUCACGGCCCCAGGAACAGUCCGACCUGCAGAGGAGGUCCAGUCGGCUUUGUUCCGGCUCCGGUGCACCAAGGCGCAGUGGCCGUGGGCCGCGGGACGGCGCGGCCAGGCCGGGCCCCGGACCGCGGAGGAUUGCGCCCCCGCCUCUGCCGUCGGCUUCCUCAGCGAGCGGCGUGAGACGGCAGCGACCACCUGCACACACGCACCGCUCCUCGUUCAGGCGUGUGCUGACUGGGUACCAGUCAUUCUGCUGGGCCUGAGGAUGAGGAGGGACUUUGGGGGGGGCCGCAGUCUGCGGGGGGAGGCGGGGGAACACGUGAGCUGGGAGGCAUGA
RNAcentral lists this long non-coding RNA (1085 nucleotides) under Vulpes vulpes (red fox). Its description in RNAcentral is "lncRNA (ENSVVUG00000006137.1)". Lineage: Eukaryota; Metazoa; Chordata; Mammalia; Carnivora; Canidae. The record is from RNAcentral.